Molecule: ribosomal RNA, 497 nt
Filed under: uncultured bacterium
Lineage: Bacteria
Description: partial 16S ribosomal RNA
Rfam family: Bacterial small subunit ribosomal RNA
Source: RNAcentral
GAUGAACGCUGGCGGCGUGCCUAAUACAUGCAAGUCGAGCGAACAGACGAGGAGCUUGCUCCUCUGACGUUAGCGGCGGACGGGUGAGUAACACGUGGAUAACCUACCUAUAAGACUGGGAUAACUUCGGGAAACCGGAGCUAAUACCGGAUAAUAUAUUGAACCGCAUGGUUCAAUAGUGAAAGACGGUUUUGCUGUCACUUAUAGAUGGAUCCGCGCCGCAUUAGCUAGUUGGUAAGGUAACGGCUUACCAAGGCCACGAUGCGUAGCCGACCUGAGAGGGUGAUCGGCCACACUGGAACUGAGACACGGUCCAGACUCCUACGGGAGGCAGCAGUAGGGAAUCGUCCGCAAUGGGCGAAAGCUUGACGGAGCAACGCCGCGUGAGUGAUGAAGGUCUUCGGAUCGUAAGACUCUGUUAUUAGGGAAGAACAAAUGUGUAAGUAACUAUGCACGUCUUGACGGUACCUAGUCAGAAAGCCACGGCUAACUACGUG